GGGUUGUGAGGUUAAGCGACUAAGCGUACACGGUGGAUGCCCUGGCAGUCAGAGGCGAUGAAGGACGUGCUAAUCUGCGAAAAGCGUCGGUAAGGUGAUAUGAACCGUUAUAACCGGCGAUGUCCGAAUGGGGAAACCCAGUGUGAUUCGUCACACUAUCGUUAACUGAAUACAUAGGUUAACGAGGCGAACCGGGGGAACUGAAACAUCUAAGUACCCCGAGGAAAAGAAAUCAACCGAGAUUCCCCCAGUAGCGGCGAGCGAACGGGGAGCAGCCCAGAGUCUGAAUCAGCUUGUGUGUUAGUGGAACGGUCUGGAAAGUCCGACGGUACAGGGUGAUAGUCCCGUACACCAAAAUGCACAGGUUGUGAACUCGAAGAGUAGGGCGGGACACGUGGUAUCCUGUCUGAAUAUGGGGGGACCAUCCUCCAAGGCUAAAUACUCCUGACUGACCGAUAGUGAACCAGUACCGUGAGGGAAAGGCGAAAAGAACCCCGGCGAGGGGAGUGAAAAAGAACCUGAAACCGUGUACGUACAAGCAGUGGGAGCACCUUCGGGUGUGACUGCGUACCUUUUGUAUAAUGGGUCAGCGACUUAUAUUCUGUAGCAAGGUUAACCGUAUAGGGGAGCCGCAGGGAAACCGAGUCUUAACUGGGCGUUAAGUUGCAGGGUAUAGACCCGAAACCCGGUGAUCUAGCCAUGGGCAGGUUGAAGGUUGGGUAACACUAACUGGAGGACCGAACCGACUAAUGUUGAAAAAUUAGCGGAUGACUUGUGGCUGGGGGUGAAAGGCCAAUCAAACCGGGAGAUAGCUGGUUCUCCCCGAAAGCUAUUUAGGUAGCGCCUCGUGAAUUCAUCUUCGGGGGUAGAGCACUGUUUCGGCUAGGGGGUCAUCCCGACUUACCAACCCGAUGCAAACUACGAAUACCGAAGAAUGUUAUCACGGGAGACACACGGCGGGUGCUAACGUCCGUCGUGAAGAGGGAAACAACCCAGACCGCCAGCUAAGGUCCCAAAGUCAUGGUUAAGUGGGAAACGAUGUGGGAAGGCACAGACAGCCAGGAUGUUGGCUUAGAAGCAGCCAUCAUUUAAAGAAAGCGUAAUAGCUCACUGGUCGAGUCGGCCUGCGCGGAAGAUGUAACGGGGCUAAACCAUGCACCGAAGCUGCGGCAGCGACACUAUGUGUUGUUGGGUAGGGGAGCGUUCUGUAAGCCUGCGAAGGUGACCUGUGAGGGUUGCUGGAGGUAUCAGAAGUGCGAAUGCUGACAUAAGUAACGAUAAAGCGGGUGAAAAGCCCGCUCGCCGGAAGACCAAGGGUUCCUGUCCAACGUUAAUCGGGGCAGGGUGAGUCGACCCCUAAGGCGAGGCCGAAAGGCGUAGUCGAUGGGAAACAGGUUAAUAUUCCUGUACUUGGUGUUACUGCGAAGGGGGGACGGAGAAGGCUAUGUUAGCCGGGCGACGGUUGUCCCGGUUUAAGCAUGUAGGCUGGUUGUCCAGGCAAAUCCGGAUAAUCAAGGCUGAGGUGUGAUGACGAGGCACUACGGUGCUGAAGUAACAAAUGCCCUGCUUCCAGGAAAAGCCUCUAAGCAUCAGGUAACAUCAAAUCGUACCCCAAACCGACACAGGUGGUCAGGUAGAGAAUACCAAGGCGCUUGAGAGAACUCGGGUGAAGGAACUAGGCAAAAUGGUGCCGUAACUUCGGGAGAAGGCACGCUGGUGUGUAGGUGAAGCCCCUGCGGGUGGAGCUGAGACCAGUCGAAGAUACCAGCUGGCUGCAACUGUUUAUUAAAAACACAGCACUGUGCAAACACGAAAGUGGACGUAUACGGUGUGACGCCUGCCCGGUGCCGGAAGGUUAAUUGAUGGGGUUAUCCGUAAGGAGAAGCUCUUGAUCGAAGCCCCGGUAAACGGCGGCCGUAACUAUAACGGUCCUAAGGUAGCGAAAUUCCUUGUCGGGUAAGUUCCGACCUGCACGAAUGGCGUAAUGAUGGCCAGGCUGUCUCCACCCGAGACUCAGUGAAAUUGAACUCGCUGUGAAGAUGCAGUGUACCCGCGGCAAGACGGAAAGACCCCGUGAACCUUUACUAUAGCUUGACACUGAACAUUGAGCCUUGAUGUGUAGGAUAGGUGGGAGGCUUUGAAGCGUGGACGCCAGUCUGCGUGGAGCCAACCUUGAAAUACCACCCUUUAAUGUUUGAUGUUCUAACGUUGGCCCCUGACCGGGGUUGCGGACAGUGUCUGGUGGGUAGUUUGACUGGGGCGGUCUCCUCCCAAAGCGUAACGGAGGAGCACGAAGGUUAGCUAAUCCUGGUCGGACAUCAGGAGGUUAGUGCAAUGGCAUAAGCUAGCUUGACUGCGAGCGUGACGGCGCGAGCAGGUGCGAAAGCAGGUCAUAGUGAUCCGGUGGUUCUGAAUGGAAGGGCCAUCGCUCAACGGAUAAAAGGUACUCCGGGGAUAACAGGCUGAUACCGCCCAAGAGUUCAUAUCGACGGCGGUGUUUGGCACCUCGAUGUCGGCUCAUCACAUCCUGGGGCUGAAGUAGGUCCCAAGGGUAUGGCUGUUCGCCAUUUAAAGUGGUACGCGAGCUGGGUUUAGAACGUCGUGAGACAGUUCGGUCCCUAUCUGCCGUGGGCGCUGGAGAAUUGAGGGGGGCUGCUCCUAGUACGAGAGGACCGGAGUGGACGCAUCACUGGUGUUCGGGUUGUCAUGCCAAUGGCACUGCCCGGUAGCUAAAUGCGGAAGAGAUAAGUGCUGAAAGCAUCUAAGCACGAAACUUGCCCCGAGAUGAGUUCUCCCUGAGACU
This 2803-nucleotide ribosomal RNA is filed under the name Klebsiella pneumoniae. RNAcentral describes it as "bacterial LSU rRNA". It matches the Rfam family "Bacterial large subunit ribosomal RNA". The record is from RNAcentral. Lineage: Bacteria; Pseudomonadati; Pseudomonadota; Gammaproteobacteria; Enterobacterales; Enterobacteriaceae.